Molecule: ribosomal RNA, 253 nt
Filed under: uncultured bacterium
Lineage: Bacteria
Description: partial 16S ribosomal RNA
Rfam family: Bacterial small subunit ribosomal RNA
Source: RNAcentral
GACAGAGGCCUCAAGCGUUAAUCGGAAUCACUGGGCUUAAAGGGUGCGUAGGCGGCUCGGAAAGUGUCCUGUGAAAUCCCACGGCUCAACCGUGGAAUUGCGGGGCAAACUCCCGAGCUUGAGGAAGGUAGAGGCGGGUGGAACGAUAGGUGGAGCGGUGGAAUGCGUAGAGAUCUAUCGGAACGCCGAAGGUGAAGACAGCCCGCUGGGCCUUUCCUGACGCUCAGGCACGAAAGCGUGGGGAGCAAACCGG